Molecule: non-coding RNA, 32 nt
Filed under: Mus musculus (house mouse)
Lineage: Eukaryota; Metazoa; Chordata; Mammalia; Rodentia; Muridae
Source: RNAcentral
UUCCAGCCCAUAACUAGUAGAUGGAAAGCAAA